GUCAUCCUUAUCCAUGUGAAUAGUUUCGACCUAAUAACAUUCGGACAUGUGGCAAAAUCUACUUGUCAGAAUCAUAUCGUCUGACACCGAAUCAUCUUCUUGAAAUGAUGUCUGAUACUGACAUCUGUUACUGAAUCAUCUUAUUAAUACAGCAACUUAAAGACAACUCUAUACCUAUCAAAAUGACAAAACAGUCGAUCACCCAUACCUCGAAAAAAGUGACUGC
This 226-nucleotide long non-coding RNA is filed under the name Elaeis guineensis (African oil palm). Its description in RNAcentral is "long non-coding RNA (EGUI_LNC058519)". The record is from RNAcentral. Lineage: Eukaryota; Viridiplantae; Streptophyta; Magnoliopsida; Arecales; Arecaceae.